Molecule: ribosomal RNA, 521 nt
Filed under: uncultured bacterium
Lineage: Bacteria
Description: bacterial SSU rRNA
Rfam family: Bacterial small subunit ribosomal RNA
Source: RNAcentral
AGGACGAACGCUGGCGGCGUGCCUAAUACAUGCAAGUCGAACGGUCUUUCUAUGGAAGCUUGCUUCCACUGAGAAGAUAGUGGCGAACGGGUGAGUAACACGUGGGUAACCUGCCCAUAAGAGGGGGGAUAACAUCCGGAAACGGGUGCUAAUACCGCAUAGUUUUCUUGAUUGCAUGAUUGAGAAAGGAAAGACGGCCUUUGUGCUGUCGCUUAUGGAUGGACCCGCGGCGUAUUAGUUAGUUGGUGAGGUAACGGCUCACCAAGACGAUGAUACGUAGCCGACCUGAGAGGGUGAUCGGCCACAUUGGGACUGAGACACGGCCCAAACUCCUACGGGAGGCAGCAGUAGGGAAUCUUCCGCAAUGGACGAAAGUCUGACGGAGCAACGCCGCGUGAGUGAAGAAAAGGUUUUCGGAUCGUAAAACUCUGUUGUCAGAGAAGAACAAGUUGGAGAGUAACUGCUCCAGCCUUGACGGUAUCUGACCAGAAAGCCACGGCUAACUACGUGCCAGCAGCCGC